CCAAAUUGAGCCAUAUGUACAAUUUUUAAUUUUUAAUUAGUGUUUAAUAGUUGCCGGAGCUAAUAACUCUCAUAUUCCCCAAUGUUCAGUUUCCUAUGUACUCAUCACUAACCCGUCCCCUGAGCUCUCUGCAAGCAGUGUAGGUUUCCUCCCAGCACCUGAAGCGCUCCAGGAACCUGCCAGACCCCCUGCUUAUUUUCUUGGAGAGCUCCCCGGGAGCCCUCUGCCAUUCUGCUCCAGGCUGGACUGGUGUCCACCCUGCUGCCCUGUCAUGUGGAGACUCCUCUGCCCCUUGGCCUGGGAUUCACUCCCCACCUAAUCCCACAUUUCCUCUUUCCUCCUUGGUGAGGCAGCUCUCUAUGGCUUAUGGAGCGGUUAUAUUUUUCUUGUUCGAGACUUGGCUUGAAUAAUAUAUCCUUAUUCUCUCAUACUUGAUUGACAAUUUGGCUAAGGAUCAACUUCUAGGUUAGGAAUAAUUAUCUGUCAGAUUUUCACGUUGACCCAAAACUGACUGUCUUCCAGCUUCGAGUGUUGCUGCUGAGGAGAUGGCUAUUCUAAGUGCCAUUUUUUUGUAUGAGACUUGCUUUUUUGUCCUUUCUGGGAGUUUUUAGCAUCUUCUCUUUGUUCAUGAUGAUCUGAAAUUUCAUAAUGUUGUUCCUUGAUACGUGUCUUUUUAAAUUUUCUGUGAGACACUUGAUCCGUUAUUUCAACUUGGAAACACGUUUUUCAUUUCUUGGAAAUUUUCUUGAAAAAAAAAGUUUCUUUUUUUGGUAUUUUCCUUCCAUCUUCUCAGUUCUUACUUUCUGGAUUAGUCAGAUAUGGGGUCUCUUGGGCAUGCUUCUCAAGGGUGAUUUUCAGUGUAAUCUGGACGUCAGUGCCAUCGAGGGGGCCAGUUUAUGUACAAGGUGUCAGGAGGCUCAGGCAUGACUAUAGCAGGGCUCCAUUCCUCUCUGCUUCGAUUGCAUGACUUGCAUGUGAAGAGACCACCUUGUUAGCAUGUGGCUGUGUGCUGAAGGUCUGCAGAACGUGGGUCAAAAUCUCCAAAGUUUCCUUGGCAGCCCCCUCGGAGUAGUGAGCGUGGACCUAGGCGAAAUGGGAGACCUGAGUCGUAACUUACCCGUCCUUGAGAAGACGACCUGCCCCCUAGGCUAGACGACUGUGGGGUUUUUCGGUUUGUGUUUAGUGAUUGCCGUUCUGCCUGGAGAAAUGUCUGCACUGCUACUUCUCGGUGUGUUGCACUGGCACAGUGGGCUGGGUACACUGUGCACGGCAGCGAGGCCCAGGGGAGAGUGUGUGUCCUUAUGUAAUGACACGGUGCUUUGCUAGGCACCCAGCCCAACUCCUGUCACCCGCCCCGCGUGGGAGUUAUUACACAGCGACAUUUCCCUGCAGUCUCUCGUAACAUUAGCCUUUCCUUCUCUUUCUUAGAUUUCUUUAAAACAUUUCCCUUAUGUAUAAAUAACUUCUUUAAAAAGUCUGAGAGUAGCUCUAACCUUCCAGGUUCUAGCAGGAGGUUAGUGCUAAGAAAAAGCUUCCAUUUUUGCCCCAUUAUUUUGUUCUUCAUUUAUUUAAUAGCGGCCUAGACUUUAAUCUGAAUAUAGUCCAAGGUUCUGAGAGCACUGCAGGAAUCUGAAACCAAUCGUACUGUCAGUAAAUUGCCACUUUAAAUCCCACUUACCCUGUCUGCUCACACUCCUUACACAGUUUCCGCUCCUUGGGCAACCAAAAGUUUAACAGGCAAGUUUUAAUGAGCUCUCUCUUUUUCCCAAUAAUCUAACCUAAACUAUCGGAGAAAAAUCUUGCCUUACAUUGUUGUGACUCCAGCCCAGUGCUGCCCGAACUAUCUGUGGUAAAGGGCUGAUUUUCUUUAGAUGUCCAAUUUGUUGUGGACUGGUAGCAAAUGUAAAAUGCAAUAAAUAUGAGUUACCAGAAAAGUGAAUUAGAAAAUGUAAAGGAAAAACACUCCUGUGUGUCUCCUCUACUCUCAAUCUCUAUUCACUUCUGACAUUUCUAGUCACCAAAUGUGUGUUUAAGUUUUUCCACUCACCAAGCAAUUCUGCGACACCAGCUGGGUGUCCUACAAUUUAACUCAAUUCUGACACUGUCUACCCAGAGAUAGUGUCAGAUCCCACUGAUUAAGAGCUCAGUCCUACAGGACUGCCCCCCCUUCAGAUGCCAAUCAUAAGUCCAGGUUACCCGUGCUUCUAGAAAAUGGAGGGUCCCACGCCCCCUCCUUGGGUUGGAUUAAUUUGCUAGAGCGGCCCACAGACUUCAGGAAAACAUUUUACUUACUGGAUUACCAGUUUGUUAUAAAAGAUUAUAACUUAGGGACAGCCAGAUGGAAGAGAUGCACAGGGCAAGUAUGUGGGAAGGGAUCCAGAGCCCCCGUGUCCUCUCCAGGUGUGCCACCCCACCCUUCCACCAUGCAGAUACGUUCCCAACCCGGAAGCUCUUGGAAUUCCUUUUCAGUUUUUAUGGUAUGAUUGAUCAAAUCACUAGCCACUGGUGGUUGAACUCAAUCUCUAGCCCCUCUCCACUCCCCGGAGGUCAGGGAAGGAGGGGCUGAAAGUGCCAACCAUCUCAUCACGUGGUUGGUUUCCCUGGCAGCCAGCCCCCAUCCAGUGGGACUUUCCCAAAGUCACUUCGUUAAUAUAAACUCCGAGGUGGCUGAAAGGGACUUGUUAUGAACACCAAAAACACACAUUUCACCUUUAUCUUCUGGAGCUAUUUCAGGAACUGGGAACAAAAGAUGCC
This 2754-nucleotide long non-coding RNA is filed under the name Equus caballus (horse). RNAcentral's name for it is "lncRNA (ENSECAG00000049095.1)". The record is from RNAcentral. Lineage: Eukaryota; Metazoa; Chordata; Mammalia; Perissodactyla; Equidae.